UAGGGAAUCUUCGGCAAUGGACGAAAGUCUGACGGAGCAACGCCGCGUGAGUGAAGAAGGAUUUCGGUUCGUAAAACUCUGUUGUUAGGGAAGAAAAAAUGUAUAGUAACUAUAUACAAAAGAGACGGUACCUAACCAGAAAGCCACGGCUAACUACGUGCCAGCAGCCGCGGUAAUACGUAGGUGGCAAGCGUUGUCCGGAAUUAUUGGGCGUAAAGCGCGCGCAGGUGGUUUAGAAAGUCUGAUGUGAAAGCCCACGGCUCAACCGUGGAGGGUCAUUGGAAACUAAUAAACUUGAGUGCAGGAGAGAAAAGUGGAAUUCCUAGUGUAGCGGUGAAAUGCGUAGAGAUUAGGAGGAACACCGGUGGCGAAAGCGGCUUUUUGGCCUGCAACUGACACUGAGGCGCGAAAGCGUGGGGAGCAAACAGG
RNAcentral lists this ribosomal RNA (429 nucleotides) under Verrucomicrobiota bacterium. RNAcentral describes it as "Verrucomicrobia bacterium partial 16S ribosomal RNA". It matches the Rfam family "Bacterial small subunit ribosomal RNA", at positions 355 to 776 of the family's 1533-position model. Lineage: Bacteria; Pseudomonadati; Verrucomicrobiota. The record is from RNAcentral.